Molecule: non-coding RNA, 219 nt
Organism: Pelobates cultripes (western spadefoot toad)
Lineage: Eukaryota; Metazoa; Chordata; Amphibia; Anura; Pelobatidae
Source: the annotation of a GenBank genome assembly
GGAAGAUGAUAAUAGGCCUACCAUUCUGGCCAGAAGGCGGAGUGGUAUUGAUUCUUUUCGGAGUACCCGGCGUAUCUCUUUCCGUAUUGUCACAAUUUUCGCCACGGGCAGUCGCAGGGUGCACGUUCUCAAGUCUAUUUCGAACCCCAGAAAUUGUACCACCCUGGCUGGGUGGAGCGAUGAUUUUUCUCUGUUUACGAUGAAGCCCAAUGAUUCCAG